Molecule: ribosomal RNA, 253 nt
Filed under: uncultured bacterium
Lineage: Bacteria
Description: partial 16S ribosomal RNA
Rfam family: Bacterial small subunit ribosomal RNA
Source: RNAcentral
UACGAAGGGGGCUAGCGUUGUUCGGAAUUACUGGGCGUAAAGCGUGCGCAGGCGGCUUCUCAAGUCAGGGGUGAAAGCCCAGAGCUCAACUCUGGAAUUGCCUUUGAGACUGAGAGGCUUGAGUACGGGAGAGGUGAGUGGAAUUCCCAGUGUAGAGGUGAAACUCGUAGAUAUUGGGAAGAACACCAGUGGCGAAGGCGGCUCACUGGACCGUAACUGACGCUCAUGCACGACAGCGUGGGGAUCAAACAGG